UCUCCGUAGGUGAACCAGCGGAAGGAUCAUUCAUAAUAAGUGUAUUUUGGAACUUUUUUAAAUCCAUAUCCACCUUUUGUGCAAUGUCAUGGUUGGUGUCUUUUGAACAGCCUCAAACAUCAACAAUUAUCUCAACUCUUUCUCUGAAAAAUAUUAUUAAUAAAACUAUAAAAAAUACAACUUUCAACAACGGAUCUCUUGGCUCUC
This 207-nucleotide unclassified non-coding RNA is filed under the name plant metagenome. RNAcentral's name for it is "partial contains small subunit ribosomal RNA, internal transcribed spacer 1, and 5.8S ribosomal RNA". The record is from RNAcentral.